Molecule: long non-coding RNA, 1371 nt
Organism: Astatotilapia calliptera (eastern happy)
Lineage: Eukaryota; Metazoa; Chordata; Actinopteri; Cichliformes; Cichlidae
Source: Ensembl
GUUAAUUAAGGUCUAGUUAAAGUCUGGACUUAAGUGUCAUUGAGAAGCUUUGAUGUGACCGUAAAUGAGCCGUUUUGCUUGAAAAGCCUCCAAUGUGUCUGAAUUAAAGCAAUUGUGCAAAGAAGAGUGGGCCAUAUUUCCUCCACAGUUAUGUGAAUGACUCAUUAUCACAAACAACUGACUGCAGUUCUUCAUCCAGCUAAUAUUGUUUAGAGGGAAAUAAGGUUUUUCACACAGGGGCAGGUAGGUUUGGAUAACUUUUUUUUUUUUUUUAAUCUUAAUGACUAAGUCAUCAUUUAGAACUUUCUAUUUACUCAGGUCUAAUAUUAAAAUUAGUUUGAAGAACUGAAACAUGGAAGUGUGACAAAUAUCCAUACAAACAAACAAAUCAGGAAUUUGUAUUUCAGUCAGAGAUCUUUAAAAUCCUUCUGUCCGUCCAUCUCCUUCCACUUAUCCAAUUUAGGUUGGAGUUGGGAGUUUAUCCCAGUCCUAUGACAGCUGGGGUGGACUCCAUAUAACCUCAUGUAAAUUCUGGGACAUAAAAGGUUAUCUGAAGUAUUAAAUGUUGUGAAUUCUUUAUGGGGUAAAAAAAAAAAAAAAAAGACAACUUAAGAUGAUUGAUAACACAAAAAUAAGAGAAAAACUGGGAGUUUUCGCUUGAACGCUCUCUAGACGUGAUCGCCUGCAUUACUCGAGAUGCAGCAUGAUGAGCUUCAGGUAAUGAGAUUUCUCCCCCCCCCCUCCUGUAUAAAAAUGCAUAUAUAACAUUCUGGAAACAAACUCUUCAAAUACAGACAUCAAAACAAAUGGUGAAUUAAGGCACGGCACUCACUGCCUUGUUCUGAGAGCAUGGCCUUGAGCUACCGAUUUUUAAACUGUGCCACCGUUAAUUUAUGCGAAGAUCUGAACUAAUUCUUUGGCAACUGUGAAGCGAGAAUAUUAACGCGAUGUAUUUCCUUGUCGAUGAUAAUGCUGCGCUCUUAAUUUGAGAUGUGCGGUGUAGUCGAACAUGAAAUGGAAAUUUGCCCCAAACUAUGUAUUUGUCACUGAACGUCGGAUGUGGAAUGAGGUUAUAUGCAUCCUUUGCUACCCACACUCCUAAGAUACAAGAAGAGGUGUAUUUCUCUCACACACUUUAGGGUGUGCGUAUGGAGAAAGCGUCAACUUACAGCCCCGUACAGAAUAUAUUAUAUACACGUAUAUUUUUUUAACCCGUGCAUUUGCAUAGUUUGUGUAUGCAAAGAGGAGCUUGUCUUGAAAAAUAAGAUAAUCAAACAGGCAGGUUUCCCUAAAGCAUCUAAAGACUCCUCUGAGGCCACAGCGCAUUUCUGUAAACAUUAAAUCAUCACUUGAUCGACAUUUAUUUUAUAC